AGCGAACGCUGGCGGCAGGCCUAACACAUGCAAGUCGAACGAACUCUUCGGAGUUAGUGGCGGACGGGUGAGUAACACGUGGGAACGUGCCUUUAGGUUCGGAAUAACUCAGGGAAACUUGUGCUAAUACCGAAUGUGCCCUUCGGGGGAAAGAUUUAUCGCCUUUAGAGCGGCCCGCGUCUGAUUAGCUAGUUGGUGAGGUAAAGGCUCACCAAGGCGACGAUCAGUAGCUGGUCUGAGAGGAUGAUCAGCCACAUUGGGACUGAGACACGGCCCAAACUCCUACGGGAGGCAGCAGUGGGAAUCUUGCGCAAUGGGCGAAAGCCUGACGCAGCCAUGCCGCGUGAAUGAUGAAGGUCUUAGGAUUGUAAAAUUCUUUCACCGGGGACGAUAAUGACGGUACCCGGAGAAGAAGCCCCGGCUAACUUCGUG
RNAcentral lists this ribosomal RNA (432 nucleotides) under uncultured bacterium. Its description in RNAcentral is "partial 16S ribosomal RNA". It matches the Rfam family "Bacterial small subunit ribosomal RNA", at positions 29 to 507 of the family's 1533-position model. The record is from RNAcentral.